GUAGGUGAACCUGCGGAAGGAUCAUCAUUGAAUUCAUUUCUACCAACCCUGUGAACAACUGUGCGCGGGGUAGACAGAGUUCUAUACUUUGUCGGCCCCAUUUAUGCGCACUGUUAAUACAAACUCUAAAAACAACAAACUGAAGCAAUUAUUAUAUAUUUAUAACCAAAACAACUUUCAACAAUGGAUCUCUUGGCUCUC
RNAcentral lists this unclassified non-coding RNA (201 nucleotides) under rhizosphere metagenome. RNAcentral's name for it is "partial ribosomal RNA internal transcribed spacer region". The record is from RNAcentral.